Molecule: ribosomal RNA, 429 nt
Filed under: uncultured cyanobacterium
Lineage: Bacteria; Bacillati; Cyanobacteriota
Description: bacterial SSU rRNA
Rfam family: Bacterial small subunit ribosomal RNA
Source: RNAcentral
CAACGGGGAAUCUUCCGCAAUGGGCGAAAGCCUGACGGAGCAACGCCGCGUGAGGGAUGAAGGCCUCUGGGCUGUAAACCUCUUUUAUCAAGGAAGAAGAUCUGACGGUACUUGAUGAAUAAGCCACGGCUAAUUCCGUGCCAGCAGCCGCGGUAAUACGGGAGUGGCAAGCGUUAUCCGGAAUUAUUGGGCGUAAAGCGUCCGCAGGCGGCCCUUCAAGUCUGCUGUUAAGGCGUGGAGCUUAACUCCAUCAUGGCAGUGGAAACUGUUGGGCUUGAGUGUGGUAGGGGCAGGGAAUUCCCGGUGUAGCGGUGAAAUGCGUAGAUAUCGGGAAGAACACCAGUGGCGAAGGCGCUCUGCUGGGCCAUCACUGACGCUCAUGGACGAAAGCCAGGGGAGCGAAAGGGAUUAGAUACCCCUGUAGUCAAU